GAGAAGCGUUCUCUUUUCAAUGUAAUGUGUGUUUUCUAGCUGGAAUAAUAUUAAUGGAGAACAAUCCAAGUUCAUCCAGAAUUGAUAGAAAAUUCAUCGAGAGAAAUAGAAGAAAUCAAAUGAAAGCUCUCUACCGCAAGCUCAACUCACUUGUGCCUCAUCAAAGCUCGAGGGAGGAAAUUUCAGUGACGGAUCAGCUAGAGGAAGCAACAAACUACAUAAAGAAGUUACAGAUGAACCUGGAGAAAAUGAAGGACAAGAAGAACAUGCUACUAGGAAUUGAAAGGCCAAAUGAGAGCAUGAAUCGAGGAAAGAACAUGGGGUUAAAAUGUCCACAAAUUGAGAUCCAACAAAUGGGCUUAGCCUUGGAGGUUGUUCUAAUAACUGGGUUGGAUUGUAAGUUCAUGUUCAAUGAGACCAUUCGUGUUCUUCAUGAAGAAGGAGUAGAUAUUGUUCAUGCCAGUUAUAAAGUCGUUGAAGAUGUAGUUUUCCAUUCAAUUCAUUCUAAGGUAGGGGACUCUGCCUAUGGAGCUGCGAAGAUAUCUGAGAGGCUAAAGAAGUUUAUGUGUGAUUCUACCUAUAAUGCCUCUUAAAAGUAUAAUAGUCAAAAUAUAAGUAAUUUCAAGAGCAUAGUAUCGUUUCAGCUAUAUAUAUACAGGGAAAAAAGAAGUAUUAUUUAAAAAAUCUUUUUAGAUGAUUUACAUAAAGUAUGACCGGUCAUAACAAAGUAUGACCGGUUAUACUCUGUGUAAAUUUGAAAAAAA
This is an RNA transcript of Gastrolobium bilobum, 764 nucleotides long. It is a transcript of the gene named transcription factor bHLH162-like, with no coding region annotated. The record is from RefSeq and is a predicted model, not a curated record. Lineage: Eukaryota; Viridiplantae; Streptophyta; Magnoliopsida; Fabales; Fabaceae. The transcript is spliced from 4 exons.